UACGUAGGUGGCAAGCGUUGUCCGGAUUUAUUGGGUUUAAAGGGUGCGUAGGCGGCCCUGUAAGUCAGUGCUGAAAUAUCCCAGCUUAACUGGGAGGGUGGCAUUGAUACUGCGGGGCUAGAGUACAGAUGAGGUAGGCGGAAUUGACGGUGUAGCGGUGAAAUGCUUAGAUAUCGUCAAGAACACCUAUAGCGAAGGCAGAUUACUAGGCUGUAACUGACGCUGAGGAACGAAAGUGUGGGGAUCAAACAGG
Molecule: ribosomal RNA, 253 nt
Filed under: uncultured bacterium
Lineage: Bacteria
Description: partial 16S ribosomal RNA
Rfam family: Bacterial small subunit ribosomal RNA
Source: RNAcentral